CGCGUAGGUGGUAGUGUAAGUCUGGGGUGGAAUCCCAGGGCUUAACCCUGGAACUGCCUUGGAAACUGCAUUACUUGAGUCAGUGAGGGGAGGGUAGAAUUCCUGGUGUAGCGGUGAAAUGCGUAGAUAUCAGGAGGAAGGCCUGUGGCGAAGGCGGCCCUCUGGCGCUGGACUGACACUGAGGCGCGAAAGCUAGGGGAGCAAACAGGAUUAGAUACCCUGGUAGUCCUAGCCCUAAACGAUGAACACUGGGUGUAGCCCCUCACGGGGCUGUGCCGAAGCUAACGCAUUAAGUGUUCCGCCUGGGGAGUACGGUCGCAAGGCUGAA
This 328-nucleotide ribosomal RNA is filed under the name uncultured bacterium. RNAcentral's name for it is "bacterial SSU rRNA". It matches the Rfam family "Bacterial small subunit ribosomal RNA", at positions 568 to 898 of the family's 1533-position model. The record is from RNAcentral.